AGAACGAACGCUGGCGGCGUGCUUAACGCAUGCAAGUCGAGUGCGCGUGCCGUAGCAAUACGGCAUGGCGCACGGCGCACGGGUGCGUAACACGUGGGCAAUCUGCCCUUCGAUGGGGAAUAACCUCGCGAAAGCGAGGCUAAUUCCGCAUGACAUUCCUUGGACCCUGGUUCGAGGACUCAAAGCCGUAAGGCGUCGAAGGAGGAGCCCGCGCCCGAUUAGCUAGUUGGCGAGGUAACGGCUCACCAAGGCAAUGAUCGGUAGC
Molecule: ribosomal RNA, 265 nt
Filed under: uncultured bacterium
Lineage: Bacteria
Description: partial small subunit ribosomal RNA
Rfam family: Bacterial small subunit ribosomal RNA
Source: RNAcentral